UGUCCUUCCUUCCCCACAGGGCUGAUGGCGGCCGUGACGUUGGACGAGUCUGGGGGCGGCCUCCAGACACCCGGAGGAGGGAUCAGCCUCGUCUGCAAGGCCUCCGGAUUCACCUUCAGCAGUUUUGAGAUGUACUGGGUGCGACAGGCACCUGGCAAGGGGCUGGAAUUCGUUGCAGGUAUUGAGAAUGAUGGUAGUAACACAGAAUAUGGGGUGGCAGUGGAUGGCCGUGCCACCAUCUCGAGGGACAACGGGCAGAGCACAGUGAGGCUGCAGCUGAACAACCUCAGGGCUGAGGACAGCGCCACCUAGAGAUGGCUGUGACUGUG
This is a non-coding RNA of Phasianus colchicus (ring-necked pheasant), 329 nucleotides long. NCBI's taxonomy places the organism in Eukaryota, Metazoa, Chordata, Aves, Galliformes, Phasianidae. The record is from the annotation of a RefSeq genome assembly.